GACGAACGCUGGCGGCGUGCUUAACACAUGCAAGUCGAACGAAGAGCGAUGGAAGCUUGCUUCUAUCAAUCUUAGUGGCGAACGGGUGAGUAACGCGUAAUCAACCUGCCCUUCAGAGGGGGACAACAGUUGGAAACGACUGCUAAUACCGCAUACGAUCUAAUCUCGGCAUCGAGGAUGGAUGAAAGGUGGCCUCUACAUGUAAGCUAUCACUGAAGGAGGGGAUUGCGUCUGAUUAGCUAGUUGGAGGGGUAACGGCCCACCAAGGCGAUGAUCAGUAGCCGGUCUGAGAGGAUGAACGGCCACAUUGGGACUGAGACACGGCCCAGACUCCUACGGGAGGCAGCAGUGGGGAAUCUUCCGCAAUGGACGAAAGUCUGACGGAGCAACGCCGCGUGAGUGAUGACGGCCUUCGGGUUGUAAAGCUCGGUUAAUCGGGACGAAAGGCCUUCUUGCGAAUAGUGAGAAGGAUUGACGGUACCGGAAGAGAAAGCCACGGCUAACUACGUG
RNAcentral lists this ribosomal RNA (510 nucleotides) under uncultured bacterium. RNAcentral describes it as "partial 16S ribosomal RNA". It matches the Rfam family "Bacterial small subunit ribosomal RNA", at positions 28 to 507 of the family's 1533-position model. The record is from RNAcentral.